GGAAGAUGGAAAUAAGAGAAAGAUUGUUUUCAGAGGAAGAGACAGGGAAGUGGUGAGGCAGGGAGUCAGGAGAUGCAGGUGGCAUGGAGAUGUAGGAGAGGAAGGCAGGCACAGGUUUGUAAUCCUACUCAAACAUGACCUACCUGCAGAAAAUGAGAGGACAUGUACUGUGACUUGACUUGUAAGGUGAGCACGAGCAUUGGACAUGAUAAAAAUACAGCUUUUGAAGAAACAGAAGAGUUGGGGAGAAUUUGGCUGAGAGAUACUGGGUGAUUGUUCUAGAUGAUAGAGAUAAAUUACACAUGGUAUUGUCUUCGUUGUGCUUAAUUUUUAAUUAUGUUGUGGGCACUAUACAUUAGAAAAGCUGGUAAGAAACUAAAUCAAGAUUUGACUUUCAAGUGCACCACUGACCCACAGACUUCCCGUGUCCUUGGGCAAAAUGCUUUCUCCUUUUUUUUUCUUCCUCUCACUGCUUCAUCUGUAAAACAGAGAUAACACUACUUCUUUUUUCACAGCCUAUUUACAUAAUAAAAGCCUUUCCAUGCA
Pezoporus flaviventris is the source of this 546-nucleotide long non-coding RNA. RefSeq lists it as uncharacterized. Lineage: Eukaryota; Metazoa; Chordata; Aves; Psittaciformes; Psittacidae. The transcript is spliced from 2 exons. The record is from RefSeq and is a predicted model, not a curated record.